RNAcentral lists this ribosomal RNA (252 nucleotides) under uncultured bacterium. Its description in RNAcentral is "partial 16S ribosomal RNA". It matches the Rfam family "Bacterial small subunit ribosomal RNA", at positions 524 to 776 of the family's 1533-position model. The record is from RNAcentral.
UACGGAGGAUCCAAGCGUUAUCCGGAAUCAUUGGGUUUAAAGGGUCCGUAGGCGGUUUGGUAAGUCAGUGGUGAAAGCCCAUCGCUCAACGGUGGAACGGCCAUUGAUACUGCCAGACUUGAAUUAUUAGGAAGUAACUAGAAUAUGUAGUGUAGCGGUGAAAUGCUAGAGAUUACAUGGAAUACCAAUUGCGAAGGCAGGUUACUACUAAUGGAUUGACGCUGAUGGACGAAAGCGUGGGUAGCGAACAGG